UACGUAGGGGGCUAGCGUUGUCCGGAAUCAUUGGGCGUAAAGCGCGCGUAGGCGGUCAGGUAAGUCCGGUGUGAAAGUCAAAGGCUCAACCUUUGAAUGCCGCUGGAUACUGCCUGACUUGAGUCCGGAAGGGGCGAGUGGAAUUCCUGGUGUGAGCGGUGAAAUGCGCAGAUAUCAGGAGGAACACCAAUGGCGAAGGCAGCUCGCUGGAACGGUACUGACGCUGAGGUGCGAAAGCGUGGGGAGCAAACAGG
This 254-nucleotide ribosomal RNA is filed under the name uncultured bacterium. RNAcentral describes it as "partial 16S ribosomal RNA". It matches the Rfam family "Bacterial small subunit ribosomal RNA", at positions 524 to 776 of the family's 1533-position model. The record is from RNAcentral.